This 547-nucleotide ribosomal RNA is filed under the name Enterobacter sp. RNAcentral's name for it is "bacterial SSU rRNA". It matches the Rfam family "Bacterial small subunit ribosomal RNA", at positions 61 to 599 of the family's 1533-position model. The record is from RNAcentral. Lineage: Bacteria; Pseudomonadati; Pseudomonadota; Gammaproteobacteria; Enterobacterales; Enterobacteriaceae.
GUCGAACGGUAGCACAGAGAGCUUGCUCUCGGGUGACGAGUGGCGGACGGGUGAGUAAUGUCUGGGAAACUGCCUGAUGGAGGGGGAUAACUACUGGAAACGGUAGCUAAUACCGCAUAACGUCGCAAGACCAAAGAGGGGGACCUUCGGGCCUCUUGCCAUCAGAUGUGCCCAGAUGGGAUUAGCUAGUAGGUGGGGUAACGGCUCACCUAGGCGACGAUCCCUAGCUGGUCUGAGAGGAUGACCAGCCACACUGGAACUGAGACACGGUCCAGACUCCUACGGGAGGCAGCAGUGGGGAAUAUUGCACAAUGGGCGCAAGCCUGAUGCAGCCAUGCCGCGUGUAUGAAGAAGGCCUUCGGGUUGUAAAGUACUUUCAGCGGGGAGGAAGGUGUUGUGGUUAAUAACCGCAGCAAUUGACGUUACCCGCAGAAGAAGCACCGGCUAACUCCGUGCCAGCAGCCGCGGUAAUACGGAGGGUGCAAGCGUUAAUCGGAAUUACUGGGCGUAAAGCGCACGCAGGCGGUCUGUCAAGUCGGAUGUGAAU